UACGUAGGUCCCGAGCGUUGUCCGGAUUUAUUGGGCGUAAAGCGAGCGCAGGUGGUUUAAUAAGUCUGAUGUAAAAGGCAGUGGCUCAACCAUUGUGUGCAUUGGAAACUGUUAGACUUGAGUGCAGGAGAGGAGAGUGGAAUUCCAUGUGUAGCGGUGAAAUGCGUAGAUAUAUGGAGGAACACCGGUGGCGAAAGCGGCUCUCUGGCCUGUAACUGACACUGAGGCUCGAAAGCGUGGGUAGCAAACAGG
This 252-nucleotide ribosomal RNA is filed under the name uncultured microorganism. RNAcentral's name for it is "partial 16S ribosomal RNA". It matches the Rfam family "Bacterial small subunit ribosomal RNA", at positions 524 to 776 of the family's 1533-position model. The record is from RNAcentral.